GACUUAAAAUCCGUCGACUUUAGAAAUCGUGAGG
This 34-nucleotide transfer RNA is filed under the name Trifolium repens (white clover). Its description in RNAcentral is "partial tRNA-Leu". RNAcentral also lists the same sequence under 92 other names. Lineage: Eukaryota; Viridiplantae; Streptophyta; Magnoliopsida; Fabales; Fabaceae. The record is from RNAcentral.